Molecule: long non-coding RNA, 5652 nt
Filed under: Sus scrofa (pig)
Lineage: Eukaryota; Metazoa; Chordata; Mammalia; Artiodactyla; Suidae
Description: lncRNA (ENSSSCG00035020004.1)
Source: RNAcentral
CCUGGAUUUGCAUCAGAGGUGGAUGCCAGCGGGAUGGAAGGGAUGGAACACCUGAGAGAACCCAGGAGGAAGAGUGGCAAACAAGAUCAGGAAUCAGAGGAAAGGAUAAAAACAUAGGCUACCUAGGAAGGAAAUCAUUCAUUAAAACAACCUUGAGCCACAGGGGCUGUGAGGGCCAUUUGAUGAUUGGCCACAGGAUCCAACCUGUGGGGGUGGAAAGAGCUGCUAAUGGAAGGAAGAAGUCUUCCAGGCAGCUCUUCACCCCAGAGUUACUCUUUUCCUGUCUAAACCCAUGGAAGAUGCUGAAACUCCUUCUUCAACAGCUGGGGAAGACAUUCACAGACGGUUUGUAGAGGCAUUUUGUUACAGAAGCCACUCAGGGAACAGGUUUACCUUGGAAGAGAAUUGCACCUCCUGAAAUUCCUGCAUUUGCAUGAAUAUGUGUGGAAGCAAACAGGAGCAGAAAUAGCUAAAGGAGAAGAAAUUCAGACAUCUGUACACGCUGGUGUGAAUGGUUGGAGGCCAACAAUUCUGCAGUUGGUCUCUCACCGAUACUUCAAGGAGGGGUCCAGUUUCCACCGGCUGGGGAUGCAGAAGGGGACCUGUGGCCAGUGCUGCUCUGGCAGGAUAAGGGCAGAGGAUUCAGACAGCAUCAGGGCCAGGCAUCCCAGACUGUCAGGCACAGGACUGAGCCAGAGCUCUACCGGUGCCUUCGUCAGAGCCGUGACCUCUAGGUAAACCAUAUUGCUCAUUCCACAAAGCAAGGUCCAAACUGAUGCUCCUUGUUUCUGUUCCUAUAGCGUUUAGGGUUUGGGGAAAACAAACAAACAAACAAACAAACCUUUGCAUAUUAACAGUAGAUGCGCGUGAUCUCUGAGAGAGAUUAAAAAGGUAGCGCCCCGUCCUCUCCCUUCCCUCCUCUUCCCUUCCCUGCUCUCCUGCGAGGUCUUCAGUCUCCCUCCUUUUCUCCCCCUAGCCCCGUGUUUUCUUCUUUUCUUGGCCUCCUUCUGACUCUUCUGGCCAUAAAAUGAAACUAAACUUUAUCUCUUAGUAUUUAUGACAGAGAAUUUUAUGUUUCCUGGUCUUGGUUUAGAAAAGGCGCAAGUGAAAUAGCUUUGUUUAUGUAUACAUUUAAAUCGACUAAAUUAACGGGAUCUUUAUGUUUUGUGUCCCUACCCCUCCCACCCUUUGCCCUAAACGAUGGCACUUUCGAUGCCAAAAUGGCAUCUACCCAGGUCUGGUACGAACACAGCAUUUGCAAAGGAUGUUUAUAGAGAGAAUGGUGUUGUAGGUGCCUCCCGAGCUUGCCUGGUAAUUCCAGCCCUUCGCAGGGUAACAUGAAACCUCUUCACUCACACAAUGAACUGGGGCGAGAGCCAGGACGGAGAGACAGGCAAGUCGCGGAGCGAUUCCACAGUGUCCGCUGACGCUGGGGCUCUCGGUUUGAAGGUCGCAGAAUUCCUACUUGCUCACCUCUGACAUCAUCUGCUUCUGUCUGCAGGGGGUGCAGAGACUCCAAAAAAUGAAAAUAGUCACGUUCAAGCUUAGCAAGGAGCUGCGUAGAAGCCCCAGCGUGACUGUCCAUGGCCCAUCAAAGGGUGGUAGCAGCGGCUCUCCCCAGGACGGGCUUCAGUUAGUGCAGAGAGUGAUGAUGGGGAGGCCACCUCUGGAGGAGAACCAGCUGUUGGGCUCCCUACCUGGGAUCCCAAAGCCAAAGGCAAAGGGGUUGGGCUUUGCCAUUUCCCCCAAGCAGAACAAACCAGAAUGGUCCCAGUGGGACAUCCGCAUCCGGUGAAAACUUGCUCCAAUCUGGGGCUUAUUCAGUGAAAUCCAUUGUCCUCUCCCCGUGAGAGGGGUUCUCAAUUAAAUUUCUCCCGAGGUCCUUUUUCUCCCCUGGUGAUCUGUUUCUUACAAGACCUUUUUUUUUUUUUCCUUCUCUUUUUCCAGCUCCUGCAAGGUUGAUUCACAGAAUACUAUAAUUCAAGUUUGGGAUCAGGCUUAAACAGUGCCAUUUAUAGAAGAUGAGCCUCAGUUUCCUUAUUUGCCAAGUAAGAGAGGAGGCAAAUACAAAAUGGAAAGGCUCCAGCUAGGUCCCAGGAGAACACUACCAGGAAUUUUGGGGGGAAAGAGAGUUAUUUGAAGCUAAUGAAAAUUAAAAGGGUUUUCUUCCAGGCUCCUCCAUAAUCCUCCCUCUUCAAGUUCAGAGCAAGAAGAUGAGAAGGAGAUUGCCCCAAAUGAUGUCAUGUUGAUCUGAUCGACAGCAGAGAGAGUGCACAACCUCCCAGCUCCUCUUCCACCUUCUCUCCCUCGGAGACUAAUCUAGGCCUGCAAAGGGUAGAAUGAACACCAGCGACAACAGCCUGAAGCCAUGAUAGGUGGAGAGAGAAUGAAAGAGUUCAAGUCUUCGAGCCCAGACAAACUGCCUCCCAGAGACAAGCAGGGCUGGGGAACUACACGCUGCCAUCUUGGAGAAAGAGCCAGAAAAAAGAGGUGCCAAGUGACUGCCAAUAAGCACAUUUGUCCCAAUGUUCAAAGAGAGGGGAAAGCUGCCUUCUGGAAACCACAAGCUGCAGAGCUUCAUACCAGCCCCUCUCAAAAUUCUAGAUUGCAGGAUUAAAGAGAAGAUUGGGAACAGUUAGUCAGGAAAACAGGAAACAUCAGAAGCUGGCCUGGGCCCAUUAGCACAAAGUCAUUCCAGGGAUGGUUCUGAUAUAAUGUCAAGUUGGGAGAGAAAAGCUGUAAUUUUAAAGUUUUGUUUUGUUUUUUUACCAAAAAUUGUUUUAGAACUAUUAUUCAUUCAUUCAUUUAUAAACCUCUACUGGGAUGUAAGCUUCAUGUGGGCAAGGAUGUUUCUGGGGGGAGAGGGGUUGCUCUUUUGCUCACUGUCACACCUGGAACAACAUCUGGCAUGUAGAAGUCACUCAAUAAAUAUUUUUGAAUAAAUCAAUAUAUAUGCAUAAUAAAGAUUAGAAGGAGACAUAGCAAUAUUUAACUGAGAUUAUUCCCGGGUAGUUAGAUACUAGGUGAUUUUAAUUUUCUUCUUCUUUUUUUUUUUUUCCUCAGGGCCACACACAAGGUAUAUGGAAGUUCACAGGCUAGGGGUAAAAUCAGAGCUGCAGCUGCUGGUCUACACCACAGCCUCAGCACCCAGGAUACGAGCUCCAUCUGUGACCUAUGCUGCAGCUCACAGCAAUGCUGGAUCCUUAUCCCCUGAGUAAGGCCAGAAUCAAACCCCCCUCCUCAUGGAUACUAGUUGGGUUCAUAACCCACUGAGCCACAAAUUGAACUCCUUAAUUUUCUCCUUAAUACUAGGGUUUUUUCCCUCUAUUUCCCAUAUUUUCUGUAAUAAACAUAGAUUACUCUUAUAAUCACAAAAAUAAAACAUACUCUCCUCAUUGAAAGACUCAUAACAAAUUGGUCUCAUUUUUUUUCUGUUUGUAAGUAUUACCAUACUGGUAAACCAGGAGAAUGUGAAUUUCCAUGAAGUGUUUCCCAAAACCUCCCACAUUAUCCCUUGACCCAGAGAGAGAGUUGUGAGCUCAGUGAUGUCUACACUACGUGGAUCUGUUGAAUGACUAAACCCAAACAGGACUGAUUAAAAGAUCAGCGCCAACGCCAAGGAAAGUCUCUGGUGGUUUGAUACAGCGAUCUGUCUCAGUCAGUAUGUUCUACAGAGGCUUGGAGGAAGGGCUUCCUUGGAGAAAGGCCUGCUCACUUUUGCUGCAGACAAUAGAUAGCUGGAGAACCUAGCUGACAAGUUGAAGGACAGGAUUCAGAUAAAAAGGUCUCCAUAGAUUUUAUGGACCCAAACCAAUAAACUUGACAUGCUCAGGUUCCAAAAGUAUCUAUAGCCCAGGUUCUAAGAGAAAAAGACGUGCCUAAGAACAGUUAUGUGGACAGGGAACUCUACUCAAAACUUGGUAAUAACCUACAUGGGAAAAGAAUCUGAAAAAGAGUGGCUAUAUGUAAAUGUAUAACUGAAUCACUUGGCUAUACACCUGAAACUAACAGAAAAUUAUAAGUCAACUAUACUCCGAUAAAAAUUUUUAAAAAGAAAUUACAACAAAUAAAAAAGUAUGAACAGUUGUGCGGAAAAAGAUCCAAGCAACUUAGCUGUACUCAAGAUCGUGAUGGGUCAACAGAACGAUGUAGUGGCUCAGAAAGCUAAUGCAGUCUUGGGUCCCGUUAACUGAGUUCUUCUGUUAAUAUCUAGAGUUAAUGUUGAUUCAGACUUAGCAUUUUGUGAUCUAUGACAGCAUUUUCUGAAGUGUCCUCUGCAAUCGUCCAUGUUUCAUGGGGGUUUGGUGGUCACAUAUAUUUGGGCAUCACUCUAUAGUGGGGUCCCCUUUUGGAGAGGCACAGGGCAUAUUAGCAUAGUAAAGGCAUUGAGAAGUGCAGUAAUAAAGAGCUUCCUCAAUUUUUUUUUUUUUUUUUGUCUUUUUGCCUUUUCUAAGGCCGCUCCCGAGGCAUAUGGAGGCUCCCAGGCUAGGGGUGGAAUCGGAGCUGUAGCCGCCGGCCUACGCCACAGCCACAGUAAUGUGGGAUCCAAGCCGUGUCUGUGACCUACGCCACAGCUCACGGCAACACCAGAUCCUUAACCCAUUGAGCAAGGCCAGGGAUCAAACCCACAACCUCAUGGUUCCUAGUUGGGUUCAUUAACCACUGAGCCAUAAUGGGAACUCCCCCUCUAUUAUUUUACCAGUAAAUGUGGGAAGGGGAGGUUGGGUUUUUUUUUUGUUUUGGGGGCGGUUUUUAGUUUUGCGUGUAACACCUAUUAACAAUCAGAGCAAGUUUUGGGAAAGGCUGAUCUACCGUAAACCACACCAGGCAUGAGCAAGUAUCAUAUAUCUCUUUUUCCUCAUCAUCCAUGAGCCCAGGGCCAGGCACACAGGAGAUGCUCAGUGAACGCUAGUUGAAUGAAUGACAAAGAACAUACAUACCAGAGCACUACUGUAUCACAAACUCUCUAGAUCACAUUACCAAAAAGGUACGCAGACACUGGGCACACUUCCAAAGGAGAGCUAAGAGGAUGGUAGAUUUGGAACCUUGGUUCCCUAGGGGACGCUUUGCCUGGAAAAGUGAAGAUUGGUAAGAACAAACUCUUGGUAGGAGGAGAAUGUGCCAGACUGAGCCUGGCUGGGAUCUAAAAAUGAGGGAGACCCAUCAGGAGACAGUAGGGAUCAGUGAUCAAGAGACAAGUGAUCAGCAAAGUCCCAGAGUCAAGCAUGGGUAGGGAAGUGCAGUUAAGAGUCCCAGGGUCCUGGUUCUGGGGAGAGACCCCAGAGAGGCCGUUUAGUCCCAUGAUUCUCAACCCUGAGUACACAUAUUAACCUCCUGAAUCGUUUUUAAAAAUACAACAUCCAGGAGUUCCCACUGUGGGUUAAGAACCUGACAUGGUGGGUUAAGUUACCACUGUGGGGUCAUGCAUUAAGAUCUUGACGUAGUCUCCAUGAGGAUGUGGGUUCGAUCCCUGGCCUCACUCAGCAGGCUAAGGAUCCAGCAUUGCCACAAGCUUCAGCACAGAUCACAGAUGCAGCUCAGAUCUGGUGUUGCUGUGGCUGCGGCGUAGGCCUCAGCUGCAGCUCCGAUUUGAUCCCUAGCUUGGGAGCUUCCAUAUGCUGCAGGUGUGGCUCUAAAAAGAAAAAAAAAAAA